Molecule: non-coding RNA, 500 nt
Organism: Pelobates cultripes (western spadefoot toad)
Lineage: Eukaryota; Metazoa; Chordata; Amphibia; Anura; Pelobatidae
Source: the annotation of a GenBank genome assembly
GGUUUUCCGGCCUGCUACCACAAUACAAACACAACCCCUCUCUUCUGCGGUAUUGCUUUUCUGCCUCGAUUAAUCUGGUUGUACCUACUUGCAUUGGUUCUGGUUAAGCCAGGGCCAUAGAAUCUGCUAUAUUAAAGGAGGGUGCUAACUGGAUCUGCGCUCUUUUUGGUCUAUCUCUGGUGUUCUGUCUAAACCGAGGACGUUCAUCUAUACCAAAAAGAUAAGAUAUCGGGUUUUCUGGUAACUCUCUAGUCGUGACCACAGCCAGAAUGGUUUCUGAAAGGCCAUUAAGGAAUACAUCAACAAAGGCCUGGUUAUUCCAUCUGACCUCUGUUGCUGGGGACCUGAAUUCAAGAGCGUAUUCCACUAAUGCCUUGUUCCCUUGUCUAAGACGUAAAAGAGUCCAAGCAGCAUUUGCCUUCCUACCAGGAGGGUCAAAGGUUCUACGAAAUACCUCCAUAAAGGCUACAUAAUUAUACACCAGGGAAUCUUCAUGUUCC